AUGAUAUCCGAUCCAUAUCCGAUCCAUUUUCAGCUUUAUAGACCACUCAAAUCCCACGAUGGAUAACACGUUAUAUUUAUCUUUUUAUUUUAUAAAUUCUCAAUUAUACAUUAUCCAUCGUGCACAUGCUAUGAGAUUUAUGUUGAUCUAUCUGAGCAUGGAUCGAGCAAUAAUCAUCCCACACGAUAAUGAGCAAAAAAUUUAUAUGUAGGC
Molecule: long non-coding RNA, 213 nt
Filed under: Elaeis guineensis (African oil palm)
Lineage: Eukaryota; Viridiplantae; Streptophyta; Magnoliopsida; Arecales; Arecaceae
Description: long non-coding RNA (EGUI_LNC000411)
Source: RNAcentral